GGGCGCUUGGUCUAGGGGUAUGAUUGUAAGGGUCUCCACCUCAGGUCGUGGGUUCAAUUCCCACAGCGUCCA
This 72-nucleotide transfer RNA is filed under the name Pseudocercospora pini-densiflorae CBS 125139. RNAcentral's name for it is "tRNA-Glu (CTC) (tRNA-Glu-CTC-4-1)". It matches the Rfam family "tRNA". Rfam says of the family: Transfer RNA (tRNA) molecules are approximately 80 nucleotides in length. Their secondary structure includes four short double-helical elements and three loops (D, anti-codon, and T loops). Further hydrogen bonds mediate the characteristic L-shaped molecular structure. tRNAs have two regions of fundamental functional importance: the anti-codon, which is responsible for specific mRNA codon recognition, and the 3' end, to which the tRNAs corresponding amino acid is attached (by aminoacyl-tRNA synthetases). tRNAs cope with the degeneracy of the genetic code in two manners: having more than one tRNA (with a specific anti-codon) for a particular amino acid; and 'wobble' base-pairing, i.e. permitting non-standard base-pairing at the 3rd anti-codon position. Lineage: Eukaryota; Fungi; Ascomycota; Dothideomycetes; Mycosphaerellales; Mycosphaerellaceae. The record is from RNAcentral.